AUUUUAGAUAUGAUGCUAAACAGUGUUGUGAUAAAGAUGUUUUGUUUUAUUAUUUGCAGGCAUACAAUAUCAGCAUAUAUAUAAGCACUUAGGAAGUUGGGAGUGUAUUACAGGAUCACUUGAACACAAUACACACAAUAUCAAGAUUAAAGGCUGGCUGAAAUACCCUGUACCUUGGUUCUCUGGCGCAGAAUUUCUCUUAAAUUUGUUGCUCAAAUACUGAAGUUCCCUAUAACUUAUAGAGAAAUUUAAUGUUGGACACAGUAAUCCUUUCCUGGUGUUUCUGGGGGUGGGAAUAUGCUGAAAAGAGGCAGUAGAACACAGAAAUUAAGGCACAAACUGUCUAAUGAAAUGUAGAUGCCAGGAAAUAUGCCAGUUAUCUGUGUUUCCACCAUAUUAUAGGAGAAAAAUGGGGGAAGAGUAGGACAUAAGUCCUCUCUUCCUGCAGGGCUAAAGCUGUGCAGAUAAAUAAUAUUCUAUAAAAGCCAGUGUCUCUGAUGACCAUAAAAGAAGGCUCAGAUGAAUAACUUGGAAGAAGAACUUUCCUUUGUGUUUAAAAUAGAUCUUUUAGUCUUCUGAGUUGAACACACAGGACCAAACACAGCUGAUCAAACAAAUAAGUUGCAGCUCGACAAACUGGCACUUUUCUUGGACUUUCUUUCAUGGGGAGAUUUCUGACUAGCUUGAAACAAAGCUGCUAACAUCUCAUUGCAGGAGGGACUCUUCCAAAAAGAAGCUGUAUUGGCAGCUCCAUUCAGACUGGAAUGGGUUUCCUAUUUUCUCUGUAGGGGAUGCUGUCUCUUCUAAGCCAUGCUCUUCAGCCUUUUAAUUGGUGUUUGCUACUUAUAUAAAAGUGCAAAAUAUAA
RNAcentral lists this long non-coding RNA (866 nucleotides) under Coturnix japonica (Japanese quail). Its description in RNAcentral is "lncRNA (ENSCJPG00005000685.1)". The record is from RNAcentral. Lineage: Eukaryota; Metazoa; Chordata; Aves; Galliformes; Phasianidae.